UUGAACGCUGGCGGCAGGCCUAACACAUGCAAGUCGAGCGGAUGAAGGGAGCUUGCUCCUGGAUUCAGCGGCGGACGGGUGAGUAAUGCCUAGGAAUCUGCCUGGUAGUGGGGGAUAACGUCCGGAAACGGGCGCUAAUACCGCAUACGUCCUGAGGGAGAAAGUGGGGGAUCUUCGGACCUCACGCUAUCAGAUGAGCCUAGGUCGGAUUAGCUAGUUGGUGGGGUAAAGGCCUACGAAGGCGACGAUCCGUAACUGGUCUGAGAGGAUGAUCAGUCACACUGGAACUGAGACACGGUCCAGACUCCUACGGGAGGCAGCAGUGGGGAAUAUUGGACAAUGGGCGAAAGCCUGAUCCAGCCAUGCCGCGUGUGUGAAGAAGGUCUUCGGAUUGUAAAGCACUUUAAGUUGGGAGGAAGGGCAGUAAGUUAAUACCUUGCUGUUUUGACGUUACCAACAGAAUAAGCACCGGCUAACUUCGUG
RNAcentral lists this ribosomal RNA (483 nucleotides) under uncultured bacterium. RNAcentral's name for it is "partial 16S ribosomal RNA". It matches the Rfam family "Bacterial small subunit ribosomal RNA", at positions 30 to 507 of the family's 1533-position model. The record is from RNAcentral.